Molecule: ribosomal RNA, 951 nt
Filed under: Triticum aestivum (bread wheat)
Lineage: Eukaryota; Viridiplantae; Streptophyta; Magnoliopsida; Poales; Poaceae
Description: partial small subunit ribosomal RNA
Source: RNAcentral
AUGGAUGUGCAUUCAGCUCCAUCUUGUCCUGUUAAGGCGAGGGCACCAGUUGAGCAUCUAGUUGGGCGGUUUGCUUCCGGCAUGACCAACUUGCUCGGGAAGUUGGUUGAGGGUUGGACGACACUUAAUGGCUCUGACAGCGAAGCGGUUGCGAGGCAGUUCACACCAUUUGUUGGAGAACGAACACAUCGGCCAACUGGUUGCCAUGACCGGUACGACUACAACAGCUCCCAGGAGCUCCCUGACACGCAAGAUGAACUAGAUGGAGAUGAUGGUCUCGACAAGGGCGAUGAUGACGACAUGGAGAAUGUGCAACAUGAAACCGAUGACGAUGAACAUGUUGAAGUUCGUGUAGGUGGUAAGAAGGACAAGGCUGCACCAGAUGUCCCCCCACCGGAGAAAGUCAUUGAACAGACAGUUGCGAGAGACAAGGGGGUGUCGCCCUCAAAGAGGGGCAGGGUUCCAGAGGAUGUUGGACAGGGCUCUGUUGGCAAGAGGUCUAGGACCGAUCCCAUAGUUGCUAGGAGGAGCGAGGCGACAGCUGGUGGACGAGCAGUUAAGAAGAAACAAGCACCAACGCCAACCCAUGUUUCUGCUCGAUUGAACAAGGGUGCUCCCACUGCUGGUGACACCACUUCCACUAGGUCGUCUCCUCGUACAUUGACGUCCAACACCGGGGAUCCUGUCGUGUUGGAAGACUUGAGGAAGACAAUCAAGAAGGUGAAGAAGACUACUACACGCGUGACCAAGCAGAACCCUAGAGACCCACUCGAACGCAUUCAUUCAAAGCUGUCGACAAGUGGCAACUCAAAUGUUCAUGAGGCGCCAGUCGAGAAAACUGUUGCUGCACCGUCCACUGUUCCCACUAGCUCUGAUGCAAGCGGUCGACCAUCUCCGCGCGGUUGCAGAUGUGCAGGCUACAAUAACAGGCAUCCGUACAUCUGGGAGUGA